AUACCCAUGGUGAGGGCACCUUCUUAAUAAGUCAUUGUAUCUCUCCCAUGCAUCAUAAAGAGUUUCUAGAUCUAUCUGUACAAUGGAAGAGAUAUCAUUCCUCAAUUU
Molecule: non-coding RNA, 108 nt
Organism: Gossypium arboreum
Lineage: Eukaryota; Viridiplantae; Streptophyta; Magnoliopsida; Malvales; Malvaceae
Source: Rfam